UACGGGGGGAGCAAGCGUUGUUCGGAUUUACUGGGCGUAAAGGGCGCGUAGGCGGCCACCGCAAGUCGAUUGUGAAAUCUCCGGGCUUAACCCGGAAAGGUCAACCGAUACUGCGGGGCUAGAGUGCAGAAGGGGCAACUGGAAUUCUCGGUGUAGCGGUGAAAUGCGUAGAUAUCGAGAGGAACACCUGCGGCGAAGGCGGGUUGCUGGGCUGACACUGACGCUGAGACGCGAAAGCGUGGGGAGCGAACAGG
This 254-nucleotide ribosomal RNA is filed under the name uncultured bacterium. Its description in RNAcentral is "partial 16S ribosomal RNA". It matches the Rfam family "Bacterial small subunit ribosomal RNA", at positions 524 to 776 of the family's 1533-position model. The record is from RNAcentral.